UACGUAGGUGGCAAGCGUUGUCCGGAAUUAUUGGGCGUAAAGAGUGCGUAGGCGGUCUAUUAAGUUCCAUUUGAAGGCCCAUGGCUUAACCAUGGAGGGUGAUGGGAAACUGGUAGACUUGAGUACAGGAGAGGAAGGUGGAAUUCCACGUGUAGCGGUGAAAUGCGUAGAUAUGUGGAGGAACACCAGUGGCGAAGGCGGCCUUCUGGCCUGAGUCUGACGCUGAGGCACGAAAGCGUGGGUAGCAAACAGG
This 253-nucleotide ribosomal RNA is filed under the name uncultured bacterium. RNAcentral describes it as "partial 16S ribosomal RNA". It matches the Rfam family "Bacterial small subunit ribosomal RNA", at positions 524 to 776 of the family's 1533-position model. The record is from RNAcentral.